UCAUGUACGAGUCGAUAUUUCCCAUUUGGUUUCUUUACAGGCAGAAUGGGGGUGUUAAAGGGUGACAUACAAGGCUCUAAGAUUCCUUGUGCUAACAAUCGAUCAAUUUCUGGUUUUAAUCCCCUCCGUCCUUCUAGGGAUAUGGGAUAUUGCCUUACCCUCACAGGUAUGUGGGGUUCGGAAAGUUGGAUUUUAAUCGGUGGGAUUUUCAGUCUACUAAUUGUGUCCGGAGAGUACCAGACAUCGGGGUUAAUUUGUUUUUGAUCAUCCACGGUUAAAGGAUAAGCAGACACUGUUAGCUCCUGAUUUUUCACUUUAAUUUCUAAUUGCAAUUCAACAAUUAAAUCUCGUCCUAACAGAUUAAAUUCUGCUUCAGGGAUGAGCAAGAGUUCACCCAUUCCAAAUUUAUUUUCAGUUUCGAAUACCACAUUUUUGAUUUUGCUUACUUUAAAGGGUUCUCCUUUUGCCCCAAUUACUUGUACCUUUUCAGGGGAAACUUUACAUCCCUUAGGUAUUUGCUUAAUAGUUGAUUUCUCAGCCCCAGUGUCUACUAAAAAGGUGAACUCUUGUUUAUGGGGACCUAUUUUUAAUUUUAUCAAGGGCUCAUGAUGACUCCAGUCCCCUAAGAUAUAGAGCCCCUGACUCUCCUAUUCCAGAGUCAGGGGCUCUAUAUCUUAGGGGACCGGAGUCAUCAUGAGCCCUUGAUAAAAUUAAAAAUAGGUCCCCAUAAACAAGAGUUCACCUUUUUAGUAGACACUGGGGCUGAGAAAUCAACUAUUAAGCAAAUACCUGAGGGAUGUAAAGUUUCCCCUGAAAAGGUACAAGUAAUUGGGGCAAAAGGAGAACCCUUUAAAGUAAGCAAAAUCAAAAAUGUGGUAUUCGAAACUGAAAAUAAAUUUGGAAUGGGUGAACUCUUGCUCAUCCCUGAAGCAGAAUUUAAUCUGUUAGGACGAGAUUUAAUUGUUGAAUUGCAAUUAGAAAUUAAAGUGAAAAAUCAGGAGCUAACAGUGUCUGCUUAUCCUUUAACCGUGGAUGAUCAAAAACAAAUUAACCCCGAUGUCUGGUACUCUCCGGACACAAUUAGUAGACUGAAAAUCCCACCGAUUAAAAUCCAACUUUCCGAACCCCACAUACCUGUGAGGGUAAGGCAAUAUCCCAUAUCCCUAGAAGGACGGAGGGGAUUAAAACCAGAAAUUGAUCGAUUGUUAGCACAAG
This 1215-nucleotide long non-coding RNA is filed under the name Strigops habroptila (Kakapo). Its description in RNAcentral is "lncRNA (ENSSHBG00005000051.1)". Lineage: Eukaryota; Metazoa; Chordata; Aves; Psittaciformes; Psittacidae. The record is from RNAcentral.